This 429-nucleotide ribosomal RNA is filed under the name Chloroflexota bacterium. RNAcentral describes it as "Chloroflexi bacterium partial 16S ribosomal RNA". It matches the Rfam family "Bacterial small subunit ribosomal RNA", at positions 355 to 776 of the family's 1533-position model. The record is from RNAcentral. Lineage: Bacteria; Bacillati; Chloroflexota.
UGGGGAAUAUUGCACAAUGGGCGCAAGCCUGAUGCAGCCAUGCCGCGUGUGUGAAGAAGGCCUUCGGGUUGUAAAGCACUUUCAGCGGGGAGGAAGGGAGUAAAGUUAAUACCUUUACUCAUUGACGUUACCCGCAGAAGAAGCACCGGCUAACUCCGUGCCAGCAGCCGCGGUAAUACGGAGGGUGCAAGCGUUAAUCGGAAUUACUGGGCGUAAAGCGCACGCAGGCGGUUUGUUAAGUCAGAUGUGAAAUCCCCGGGCUCAACCUGGGAACUGCAUCUGAUACUGGCAAGCUUGAGUCUCGUAGAGGGGGGUAGAAUUCCAGGUGUAGCGGUGAAAUGCGUAGAGAUCUGGAGGAAUACCGGUGGCGAAGGCGGCCCCCUGGACGAAGACUGACGCUCAGGUGCGAAAGCGUGGGGAGCAAACAGG